CUUUUCUUCUUCUUCUGAGUAAUGAUUGCAUAGGUGCGUCAUGAUGGUACAACUCCUUUUAUUCCACUAAAUUAACCUCCUCACUCAUUGGUUCCACACAGAUGAAUUCAGCUUUUGGCAACACAAAAACAGCACCUGAGUACUGCCUUUGUAUCGUCAGGUAGCAAAAUACAUGUAGCCAGUUUGGGAGACCUCGACGGCAUCUGGGAAAGCAGGCAAAGGCUGCGGCCAGCUCAGACACGCGAAACCGAGGCGGAAACGCUGGCCGACGGCUUGGUGGUGGAGGCGAAGCCGACUUGGGGCGAGACCGAGGUGACACCAGAAGGGGACGGCGACUCGGAGUCGAGGUCGAAUCCGAGUCGACUCAGAGAGGCGCCGCUGACAGCAGGGCAAGGCCGACUUGGAAGCGUCCGGCGUGAAGCAGCCACUUGCGAUGCGCAAGGCGUGCAGAGGCGACUUGUGGCGGCGAAGGCCGGUGGCCACGGUGCGGCGGGAACCGCUUCUGUGGCCAAGGCGGGAUGGAGGAGCGCGAGCGCACAAAGAUAGUUGUGCCCGUGCGGC
This 561-nucleotide long non-coding RNA is filed under the name Hordeum vulgare. RNAcentral's name for it is "long non-coding RNA (HVUL_LNC006964)". The record is from RNAcentral. Lineage: Eukaryota; Viridiplantae; Streptophyta; Magnoliopsida; Poales; Poaceae.